Molecule: long non-coding RNA, 985 nt
Organism: Triticum aestivum (bread wheat)
Lineage: Eukaryota; Viridiplantae; Streptophyta; Magnoliopsida; Poales; Poaceae
Exons: 3
Source: RefSeq, a predicted model, not a curated record
CGUUCCUCACGGCACGUUCAGAGGCCAUCCCCACGAUCCAAUUCUCCUCGCAUAGCCGCCGCCGCACAUCCCGCCCGUAGAUGGCUAGGCGGUGCGCCAUUCGGAUCAUGCCCGCGCGACGGACCCGAUGCAAGCGAGAAGCAGCAAUCCGGUAUCUUGGUGUCGCUCCUACCGUCAAUGUUCCGGCCGGCCGACAGUACUGCAGGUCAUACAUCGCGGCGCGCCGAAGCCGCGGCUGCCCCACCGCCCCCAAUCCGCCGCCAGGGAUAGAGGAUCUCUCUCCACCGUACGUCGGAUACCCUACUGCCUGAGUCAGCGUCGCCGACGACCUUCCCUCCCACUAUAGGAAAAAAAGAAUACUCAUGUGUUGGGUUGUGCUCACACUUGCCAUCCUCUCAUAUCGAAAGAUGAACAACGACUUCCGGGCCUGCAGCAUGUCGCAUGCGUCUUCGACAUCAUUGAGGAUUUCUGCAUCGGCAAAUUGGAAGACUGACAUGGAAUAGGAGAGGACGUAAAAGCUCCCAAGUGUGAACCCAUGUGCUCGUCUGCAAUUCCUUGAGUCUUUGUUCGGUUUGAGGUGGAUUUGAAGGGGAUUGGCAGGGAUUGUGGUGGAUUAAAUCCCCUCCAAUCCUCUCCAAUCCCCUUGGGAGGAUGAUUAACUGAACAAGGCCUAAAGAUGAUGAGAACGAACAAAACCAUUUUGUAAUUGUGAUGAGGACUGCUCCAAUGCCCAGCUUUGUGGUUCUGAUCACAUGUUUGACCUCCUGGUUACUCUGGUACAUGGUCUCCACCACCCAUCGUCUACAUAUCGCCUCGCCGGAUCGCCAGACAGCACCGUCGUCUACGUUGACAGGCACUGUCCUCGACCUCUGCAUCACAGUUAAUUGUGUACUAGUAAUUCCUUUGGAGAACUUGUUACAGUUAUUCUAACUCCGCCAUGUAUCCAUGACCUUGUUAGAUUCUGAAUAUGUAAUUUUCCAGAUAU